Molecule: long non-coding RNA, 346 nt
Organism: Lathyrus oleraceus (garden pea)
Lineage: Eukaryota; Viridiplantae; Streptophyta; Magnoliopsida; Fabales; Fabaceae
Exons: 3
Source: RefSeq, a predicted model, not a curated record
UUGAUGAAGGUGAUUGUGAAUUGAAAAACGGUUACGGUGGUUGAAGGUUUUGGUUGAAGGAUUGGAAGAGUUUGUGAUGAAGUUUGGAAGAAGAAGAUUGGGAGAGAGGAAGAAAUGAGAUUGAGUCUGUUAUGUGGAAAAAUCUGGAAGUGUAGUGAGGUGAAGGUUUUGGUUGAAGGAUUGGAAGAGUUUGUGAUGAAGUUUGGAAGAAGAAGAUUGGGAGAGAGGAAGAAAUGAGAUUGAGUCUGUUAUGUGGAAAAAUCUGGAAGUGUAGUGAGUUUGAAUAGCAGCUUGAAGUGUAGCUUGGUUUUGAUGCCUUGGCUUGGCUUGGCAGUUAUUGUGCAGG